GGUUAAGCGACUAAGCGUACACGGUGGAUGCCCUGGCAGUCAGAGGCGAUGAAGGGCGUGCUAAUCUGCGAUAAGCGCCGGUAAGGUGAUAUGAACCGUUAUAACCGGCGAUACCCGAAUGGGGAAACCCAGUGUGAUUCGUCACACUAUCAUUAACUGAAUCCAUAGGUUAAUGAGGCGAACCGGGGGAACUGAAACAUCUAAGUACCCCGAGGAAAAGAAAUCAACCGAGAUUCCCCCAGUAGCGGCGAGCGAACGGGGAGGAGCCCAGAGCCUGAAUCAGCAUGUGUGUUAGUGGAAGCGUCUGGAAAGGCGCGCGAUACAGGGUGACAGCCCCGUACACAAAAGCGCAUGUGCUGUGAGCUCGAUGAGUAGGGCGGGACACGUGGUAUCCUGUCUGAAUAUGGGGGGACCAUCCUCCAAGGCUAAAUACUCCUGACUGACCGAUAGUGAACCAGUACCGUGAGGGAAAGGCGAAAAGAACCCCGGCGAGGGGAGUGAAAAAGAACCUGAAACCGUGUACGUACAAGCAGUGGGAGCCCCACCACCAAAGCAUUCUCUGGUGUUGAAGGCCCUGCAAAGCAGCAUCGCGGUGGCGGAGCGUCGUUUGCGACGCCCAACACACAAAACAAGCGGUGAAUGCUUUGGGGUGGGGUGACUGCGUACCUUUUGUAUAAUGGGUCAGCGACUUAUAUUCUGUAGCAAGGUUAACCGAAUAGGGGAGCCGGAGGGAAACCGAGUCUUAAUUGGGCGUUAAGUUGCAGGGUAUAGACCCGAAACCCGGUGAUCUAGCCAUGGGCAGGUUGAAGGUUGGGUAACACUAACUGGAGGACCGAACCGACUAAUGUUGAAAAAUUAGCGGAUGACCUGUGGCUGGGGGUGAAAGGCCAAUCAAACCGGGAGAUAGCUGGUUCUCCCCGAAAGCUAUUUAGGUAGCGCCUCGUGAAUUCAUCUCCGGGGGUAGAGCACUGUUUCGGCUAGGGGGCCAUCCCGGCUUACCAACCCGAUGCAAACUGCGAAUACCGGAGAAUGUUAUCACGGGAGACACACGGCGGGUGCUAACGUCCGUCGUGAAGAGGGAAACAACCCAGACCGCCAGCUAAGGUCCCAAAGUCAUGGUUAAGUGGGAAACGAUGUGGGAAGGCCCAGACAGCCAGGAUGUUGGCUUAGAAGCAGCCAUCAUUUAAAGAAAGCGUAAUAGCUCACUGGUCGAGUCGGCCUGCGCGGAAGAUGUAACGGGGCUAAACCAUGCACCGAAGCUGCGGCAGCGAACGUAUCACUUAAAGCGAUUCAGCGGGUUACGAUUGACGGAGCGAAGCGACGUCAAAGCGUAUACAAAGUCGAGUCGGUUUAAGGAUACGUUCGUUGGGUAGGGGAGCGUUCUGUAAGCCCGUGAAGGUGGCCUGUGAGGGUUGCUGGAGGUAUCAGAAGUGCGAAUGCUGACAUAAGUAACGAUAAAGCGGGUGAAAAGCCCGCUCGCCGGAAGACCAAGGGUUCCUGUCCAACGUUAAUCGGGGCAGGGUGAGUCGACCCCUAAGGCGAGGCCGAAAGGCGUAGUCGAUGGGAAACGGGUUAAUAUUCCCGUACUUGGUGUUACUGCGAAGGGGGGACGGAGAAGGCUAUGUUGGCCGGGCGACGGUUGUCCCGGUUUAAGCGUGUAGGUGUGUGUUCCAGGUAAAUCCGGUUCACUUUAACACUGAGGCGUGACGACGAGGCACUACGGUGCUGAAGCAACAAAUGCCCUGCUUCCAGGAAAAGCCUCUAAGCAUCAGGUAACACGAAAUCGUACCCCAAACCGACACAGGUGGUCAGGUAGAGAAUACCAAGGCGCUUGAGAGAACUCGGGUGAAGGAACUAGGCAAAAUGGUGCCGUAACUUCGGGAGAAGGCACGCUGACACGUAGGUGAAGUGAUUUACUCAUGGAGCUGAAGUCAGUCGAAGAUACCAGCUGGCUGCAACUGUUUAUUAAAAACACAGCACUGUGCAAACACGAAAGUGGACGUAUACGGUGUGACGCCUGCCCGGUGCCGGAAGGUUAAUUGAUGGGGUCAGCGCAAGCGAAGCUCCUGAUCGAAGCCCCGGUAAACGGCGGCCGUAACUAUAACGGUCCUAAGGUAGCGAAAUUCCUUGUCGGGUAAGUUCCGACCUGCACGAAUGGCGUAAUGAUGGCCAGGCUGUCUCCACCCGAGACUCAGUGAAAUUGAACUCGCUGUGAAGAUGCAGUGUACCCGCGGCAAGACGGAAAGACCCCGUGAACCUUUACUAUAGCUUGACACUGAACAUUGAGCCUUGAUGUGUAGGAUAGGUGGGAGGCUUUGAAGUGUGGACGCCAGUCUGCAUGGAGCCGACCUUGAAAUACCACCCUUUAAUGUUUGAUGUUCUAACGUGGACCCGUAAUCCGGGUUGCGGACAGUGUCUGGUGGGUAGUUUGACUGGGGCGGUCUCCUCCUAAAGAGUAACGGAGGAGCACGAAGGUUGGCUAAUCCUGGUCGGACAUCAGGAGGUUAGUGCAAUGGCAUAAGCCAGCUUGACUGCGAGCGUGACGGCGCGAGCAGGUGCGAAAGCAGGUCAUAGUGAUCCGGUGGUUCUGAAUGGAAGGGCCAUCGCUCAACGGAUAAAAGGUACUCCGGGGAUAACAGGCUGAUACCGCCCAAGAGUUCAUAUCGACGGCGGUGUUUGGCACCUCGAUGUCGGCUCAUCACAUCCUGGGGCUGAAGUAGGUCCCAAGGGUAUGGCUGUUCGCCAUUUAAAGUGGUACGCGAGCUGGGUUUAGAACGUCGUGAGACAGUUCGGUCCCUAUCUGCCGUGGGCGCUGGAGAACUGAGGGGGGCUGCUCCUAGUACGAGAGGACCGGAGUGGACGCAUCACUGGUGUUCGGGUUGUCAUGCCAAUGGCACUGCCCGGUAGCUAAAUGCGGAAGAGAUAAGUGCUGAAAGCAUCUAAGCACGAAACUUGCCCCGAGAUGAGUUCUCCCUGAGACUUUAGGUCUCCUGAAGGAACGUUGAAGACGACGACGUUGAUAGGCCGGGUGUGUAAGCGCAGCGAUGCGUUGAGCUAACCGGUACUAAUGAACCGUGAGGCUUAACCUU
RNAcentral lists this ribosomal RNA (3089 nucleotides) under Salmonella enterica subsp. enterica serovar Typhimurium. RNAcentral describes it as "23S ribosomal RNA". It matches the Rfam family "Bacterial large subunit ribosomal RNA". Lineage: Bacteria; Pseudomonadati; Pseudomonadota; Gammaproteobacteria; Enterobacterales; Enterobacteriaceae. The record is from RNAcentral.